RNAcentral lists this long non-coding RNA (2112 nucleotides) under Phoenix dactylifera (date palm). RNAcentral's name for it is "long non-coding RNA (PDAC_LNC013410)". Lineage: Eukaryota; Viridiplantae; Streptophyta; Magnoliopsida; Arecales; Arecaceae. The record is from RNAcentral.
GAUAUUGUAAUCAAAAGUAUGAGUUCAUUAUUUUAUUGAGUCUAAACAAUUUUGUCUAAUCAUGACUUGUACAUAAAACAAGCCUAUUUUAGCUUGAAGCAAGACAUGUAAGAACUAUUAUAACUAAUAAAUGCUUGGAAGAAUGAACAUUUAUAAAGAAUCAAUGGAACUGUAGACCAUGAUGAUAGAGAUGAAAGAAGAAGAAGAAGAAUUGUAGAUUGAGUGUUUGUCUACUCUCCUUUUGAAAGGAUCAAGAUCUUUUGUUUUACCAACUCAAAGUCGAUAAUGGACAUUCUAAAUUAAGAAUACAUAACAUUGAUCAUGAUAUACAUUAAGAAACCAAAAAUCAUGUUUCUUUGAAACCUCCUAACCAUUCAUCAAAUAGCACAACCAUCAACAGUUAUAAUAGUAUUAAUGUAGCAAUGAUAUAUGUAAUAACUUAUCUAAGCGGCUCAUAACCAAAGUCUAUACUCAUUAUUAUAUUUUACUAGUGGCUUCAUCAACAAUGACAAAUUCUUGAUCGAAUUAUAAACCUAGAUUUGAGUUUGCUUUAGCACAUUCAAUUGUCUCCAAUAAUUAUGAAAAAGAUUUAGUAGCCCAAUCCAAACAUAAAAAUUCAAAUUACUAGUGUUUUCCACCAAUAUGAAUGCUCUAUAACCUUAAAAAUAAAAUAAAAUAAAAUCUAUUAAUAGAAAUAUACCUAUUUAUAGUAUCCAAAAAUGCCAAUUACCUAUAUAAUCCACAUAUAGAUUCAACCACGAAGAACACUCCUUUUUGAAAAUCUUUCUUAGUUCACUUUAGUACUAUGAAAGAUCCACAUACAAAUUCCACUUUAAUACUAUGAAACUCUUUCUUAGGCGAUAAACUAGAAUACGUGAUCUACAUAUAGUUUCAUUAGAGGUUAUUGCCUCACAACUUCUUGCUAAUAAAUCCAAAAUUUGCAACCGAACAAUUAAUAAUAGAACAAGAACGUUAUCAUGGUUUGCACCCGCAUCAAGUUUGGGAUUCCAAAUCACUUAAAUGACGAUUGAAUAAGUACAUAUGGCAUAAUUAACCUACUAAUGUAACACUAUAAUCCAUAGCCAAAACCUCUUGCACUCAUCUUAGGUCAACCCACUUAUUGAAAUUAGAAACAUAUAUCAUCUAGCCCUUCAGUACUCAUCGUUUGCCAAACCCCAUGCAUAAAUGUUAUCACAAUACCUAGCGAUCUUAAACCUAGGCUCUGAAUCUAUUCUGUUACUUUUGUCAUAUCCCUAGUGAUCAUAACCUUAAGCUCUAAUACAACUUUUGUCACAGUCCCUAGUGAUCUUAAAUCUAUGCUCUGACACCACUUCUAUCAUGCUCCAAACCUAUCAUCCAGGUCGACCACAUGACACAACUUGCAUACUCCUUAGGACAAGGCUCUUCAGAACAUGUAAAGCUUGAAGAUUCAUUGCAACCUCAAUAUUAGUAAAUAAUAAUGAUCUCGAUUCAUAACAAGUAAUAAACUUGUACAAUUUCAAAAUUCAAUCAUCUAACUGGUAUCAACCUAUUUAUCAUUUCACCCAUGAUCCUAACCAUAACCAAGUACUAAGAAUUCUGCAACUCUAAAAAGAAAAGAAAAAAGUUAGUGUGAGCUUUACAGCCUAGUAAGAUUCUCUGCCCAUCUGUACCAAUAUAAUAUUAUAAUUUGAGAAUAGUAAUAAACGAUAUCAAAAUGAAAACAUAAAUUAUGGUACCUCUUUUCAAACAUUCAGUAUCACUCAAUUAAACUGACAAAUAUCUGCAUAAACAUACAUCAAAUAUUUGGCUUAUCAAAAGGGAUAUAUAUAUCACAAAUACCAACAACCAAAACAUUUUAUUUAGCAUUGGUUUCAUAUGUCUUAUCAUCCAUUUCUUAUUAUCUCAAUUCUAGGUUCUAUAAUAAUUUACUUUCCAGCUUUGGACUAACCAAGAUCAUGUCUGAGUCCAUGACUGAUAAACAAAGUUUUUAUGCAUAAGCUCGUGGAGGCUACCCCACGUAUAAGCUUGUGGAGGCUGUUCUACGUAUAAGCUUAUGGAGGCCAUCUCAUGCAUAAGCUCAUUGAGGCCGUCCCACACAUAACCCCGUGAAGGCUAUCCACAUGACGAGUU